Molecule: long non-coding RNA, 1274 nt
Organism: Amphiprion ocellaris (clown anemonefish)
Lineage: Eukaryota; Metazoa; Chordata; Actinopteri; Pomacentridae
Source: Ensembl
AAAACCUGUCUGGGACAUGAAUGGCACCAGGCUGUUACUUAAAAGUGGCUACAAUGGUUCAAAUAGUUGUCUCCCAGAAGAAACAGUGCAUGGAUGCCAGGUGUGGCUGUGAUGUUGUCAGCCCGUGAUUGGUUAGCUAGCUGCCCACCUGCAGGUGAUUGACCCUGGAUCGAUGAGGCCAAAUGCUUAAGGAACCAGGAUGACACUACCUUGAUGCAGGGAAUCUGCCCGUCUACCAGAUGAUAACUCACAGAGACGACGCCGGGUCCUUCGAGGAGCGGGCCGGCCGAUCGGGGCAGGGACAGCAAGGGUCCGGGUCCACAUCCACAUCCACAUCCACUAUCUGGCGGACGGCUGGGGGAAAGACGCACGCUGCUCUGUCGGCUGAGUCUCACUACAUGGAGACUGAAGGGGAGGACAAUGAUCCAGUGCUGCACUGCAUGCAUCACCAGUUUUUAUAGUGAGAGGAUGAGUGAUUAGCAGCAGCAGCUGCAGGUCCUGCAGCUGCUGCUAAUCAUCUCAUCAGGACUGUGACAUUAGGAAGGUAAACUGAUUUAUUUUUGUUGGUUAUCUUGGUCAUUUUAUGAUGAUCAUGUUUUGGCAUGUGUCCACUCCUAUAAAUAGUGUAAAUAGUGUACAUAAAUAUCAGAACUUUACCACUUGCAUUCUGUGGCAGCUUGAGGAAGAUGGGUCUAGUUCAUAAUAUGUCUCUGCUACCUCUAGACUGGACCCUAUAGGCUGCUUCAAACUGGAAGUCUUUCCUAUAACAUCACAGUCUUGAAAAUAUGCUGAUUUGAAAAUACGAAUGCAAAUGCAGUAAGCUAUAAAGGAAUGCUAUUUUUUAUUUUUUUUUGGAAAUGAGGUUGGUUAAAUUAAAAAAAAAACCUUAAAGUUUAUUACAAACAUGACUGACAAAGAAAAAUAAAGUGAUAACUAUAAAAUAUGGCAGUAAGGGCUGUGAGGUCAGCAGUUCUACCAAUCAUAGUGUUUUUAGUUAAUAAAGCCAAGCAACCCUUACUAUAAAAUGGUCUUCAAGACAUACAGUAGUUGAGCUAAUUUGGUAUAAAAAAAAAAACAACAAAAAAACCCAGAAAACAUUCCCUAUUAAUGUUUCUACUUGAGCUGCAUGAAGGGAAACAUCUGUUCCAACCAUUUAGUCAAGAUUAGACAAGAUGAAGAUGGUGUGGUUUGAGCAGAUAUAAUUCUUGGCUGAUAUGGAGGUUAACUUUGUGAGCAUUAAAACUGCAUGUAAAGCAUGUCUGGGGGUUUGUCAC